This 68-nucleotide transfer RNA is filed under the name Dracunculus medinensis (Guinea worm). RNAcentral's name for it is "tRNA-Pro". The record is from RNAcentral. Lineage: Eukaryota; Metazoa; Nematoda; Chromadorea; Rhabditida; Dracunculidae.
AUUAUUAAAUAUAAAAAAAAGUAUAAUACUUUAUGGACAAAUAUAUUUUUCAUUGAACAAUAAAAAUA